This 99-nucleotide signal recognition particle RNA is filed under the name Treponema sp. Its description in RNAcentral is "signal recognition particle sRNA small type". It matches the Rfam family "Bacterial small signal recognition particle RNA". Rfam says of the family: The signal recognition particle (SRP) is a universally conserved ribonucleoprotein involved in the co-translational targeting of proteins to membranes. Archaeal SRP consists of a 7S RNA and homologues of the eukaryotic SRP19 and SRP54 proteins. In most bacteria, the SRP consists of a 4.5S RNA and the Ffh protein (a homologue of the eukaryotic SRP54 protein). The record is from RNAcentral. Lineage: Bacteria; Pseudomonadati; Spirochaetota; Spirochaetia; Treponematales; Treponemataceae.
GGCCAGGAGCCAUGCGGGCGGACACUGCCUAACCCUGCCAGGUCCGGAAGGAAGCAACAGUAAGCGGAUGUCUGCGGCGCCGUGGUCCCCCUGGCCUGG